UGGAGCUGGCUCGCAGGCCUGGCGUGUCUGUUCGUUCGCUGCGAAGCACGUGGUUUUCCUGCAGUUUACAGAAUAAGGCCUCGGCUUGGGGCUUUUUCUCUCAUUUUGUUUAUUUGUUGGGCUCAAUUUCGAUAUCACAAUUAGUAAAUUAACAUUCCUCCUCAGAUUGCUGCCGCUGUUUUGUUUUAGACCCGUCCACUAUUCCCCUACUUUUCUCCCUUUUCCCCCCUUCUUUUUUUCCAGGGCAUGGGUCUGCGGAUCCCUUCCCGCAUUAGUCACGGGACCGGCCCGGCCCGUAAACCACUGACGCUUUUUUUUUCUCCUUUCUUUUCCGGGCCUGUGGGCCUGCUGUCCCUAAGUUACGGGCACAGAUUCAGAGAUAACUCCGUGACAAAAGCUUAACUAACUUAUUCUGAGGCAUGUGAUUGCACACUGUAUGGGAGAAGCAUAUCUUAUUUGGAGAGUGCUGGAGCACCUUUGUCAUGCAGAGAGAUUGCGGGACUCUUCCCCACUGCUGUACUAUGCAAGCAUUUCAACUUUGAGCAUUAGCACUACGUUGGACUCAUUCUGUCAGCAUCAACCAUUUCACCCCAGGAAACAACAGGAAGGAGUUUUCCAUUCAGUGGAGUAAGGAAAAGACUUCACCUGGAAGCAGGCACUGGAGAGAACCUGGAGGGCUGCUGGAGCUGGCGUUGGAGUUUCAGAUGGAUUUCCUAUGCCCAGAAGUGAGGUUUCCAAGGCUGACACAUUUGUCUGCUCCCAUUCUGCUCAGUACCUCAGAAGGCAGGCACAGGAGGCAUGUAGCAUCCUUUGGGCACUGCUGGGAAUGUCCCAUGGGAUGUGGGGUCUGCAUGGAUGGACCCACGCUUAUCUGGUGAAAGAUGACUGCUGUGAGAGCUCAGGCUGCAGGGGAGACCAAGAGACAAUGACUCCACCACUUCUCUGUGCAGCCUGUUCCGGUGCCUGAAGAGACACCUAAACUUUGAAUCAAACAUAACCUAUGUGCUCUUCCUGGUGUGUGUUUACCCUGAAGGAAAGACCACCAUUUGAAAAUGCUCUGAAGAAUCAUUUUGCUAUCCUCACAAGAAAGAUGUCAGCAUCCCAACAUGAGGAAAAGCAAAUUCAGAGCAUGCAUCUGCAUGGGAGGCCUGACAGGGGGGAUCCUCAGCAGCUAGAAGCUGUGAGAGCCCCCACUCCAUCAUCCUGCAGGCCAUGAGCAAACCAUUGCUUUUGCCUCCUCAGUUGAUUUUCCAGCACAUUGCCCAAAUCUCAGCCUGUUUUGAUGGAGUUGUGUGCAUUUUGGAUGGUGUCCUGUGUACUCUACUUAUUUUAAAGGCUCUUUCAUUUCUGGUGGAGACAUGUCCUUCUGACAUCUUCAUGAGAAAUCGUGGAUGCAUCUUCAUGGUGCCAAGGGCGUUCCAGCACUUUUUGUUUAAAAACAGUGUCACCUUCUGAAUCAAGCUCUCCUAUUUAUGUUACACACAAGGGUAACAGCAGCUUUGAUGUAUACGUCCUAAGCCUUCUUGUCUGAAGGCAGUCUGCUAGCAAUGCUUAAGGAUGACGGUGUUCCAUUGCACGCUCUUUGAAGCAGCAGAGAUUUAUAACACGUAGAGGGUACUUUGGUCUACUGGAAUGAAACAGUCACACUGAGUUUAUGACGCUGUGGAGGAAUGCUCAACCAACUGCUGCAGAGAAGACCUGCAGUAUUCCCAGAAAAGGAGAAGGCCAUCAUUUAAAUAAAAAUUCAUUAGUUGUUAACCCCUCUUCACCAGUGAAGACAUUGGAAAGCUAUAGAGUGUCGAGAGACGUGGUACAUUUCUGGUGUUUGAUCCAGUAAUGAUCUGGCAGAAGAAGAUCAGAAUCACUGCAGAGCUGCACAGUCGAGCACAUGCACUUUCAAGGAAGAGAGGAUUCUUCAGCUAUGUUUUCAGUGUCAGGAGCUGUUCACGUCAUACCAAGGCAUAAUUCACUCUGAGACACUCAUCUUGAAAGAAACGUGAGUGUAGAAAGUAUCAGACAACCAACCAAUUGAAUAGUAUUCUGGACAGAUUUCAACCCAGGAGAUUUGUUACGAAAGUUUAUUUGUGGAGCAUGAGAACUGGAGUCCAGAGAAUCCUUUGGCUCUGGCAGCCUAGAGAAGAGAUUUUAAGGAGAACUGAUCAGGGAAAAGUACCUAAUAUAUUCUGUCAAGUCAUAGCUGACAUCGGAGAGUGAAGGCUGUUCCAGUUCAUCUCCCUGUCCUCAUUCAAGAGGAAAGGCUGUCUGAGAGGCUGGAAAUCCUGAGGAGUUUGAUCAUUCCAUGAUCUCCUAAUCACUGCAUUGCUCUUGCUUCCCAAUGCUGGUUCAAACGGGUCUUGAAAAUCAACUGUGGAGAGUCAGAUUUCCAUUCCUCUGCACCCAUGUGGAAUUCAAAUUAAAAAGACAAGAGAUUGAGGAGGAGAGAAAGAAAGAAAGAAACAAAGAAGAGGGGGAAAAAAGAAAGAAAAAACAAAGGGGUAUCCAUAAAGAUGUUCAGUCUUGUGACAGACUGGAAAAACAGAACCAACCAUGGACUGACCAAAGGGGUACGGAAUAUUUGUGCAUCAGUACUUGAGAGCACCUCCCUGCAGCGAUCACAAGACUUGAUAAGCAUGGCUGUCAUCACAGGAUGUGAAGCUCAAUCAGGGACUGAGAGAGACUGCCCCAAAGCAGCUCCUGCAGGUGAAAUCCAUUCCCAGGUUCCUCAGGCCCAGCACGAUUGAUGCCCAGCCUGGUUACAUCUGCAUCACAGAACUGCAGCCUUUGAGACACUGAAUUCUUACAAAAAUAGCAUGCAGAGGUCAUCAAAGCAGUAAGGCCUGUGUCUCCUAUCAUCAUUAGAGAAGUUAAGAAAAUAAACAACAGAGCUCCACUGAAGUCUGUGGAACUAUUAAAUUCCAAACAACCGCAGCCUGGCUUUCUGCAGAAUGCUUUCUUCCUAAAAGGUAAAGCACACAAGAUAACUCUUAAGCUAUAGUUAAAAUAAACUAAACUGCAUUAAAAAUGAAGCA
This is a long non-coding RNA of Numida meleagris (helmeted guineafowl), 3029 nucleotides long. RefSeq lists it as uncharacterized. The transcript is spliced from 21 exons. The record is from RefSeq and is a predicted model, not a curated record. Lineage: Eukaryota; Metazoa; Chordata; Aves; Galliformes; Numididae.